CCCCCGACAGUCUGGGCAUCCAGAGGAGUGACUCGGAACAAGUAAUAUCCCAGUGGUGCCAAGUGCUGAGAUUUUUCUGGGAUUCCUUGAAUGAUCAGACCCAACACCCGAAACUGAAUCAGGUCACGACUGAGGAGGUCUGAGUGUGGCAUCCGUUGACAAGCCUGUGGGUCCCUGGAGUCUUUGGGGGUGAUCCCGAGUAACACUGCAUUGCACUGAGAAUGGCAAAGCUGUUGACUUUCUCUGGUCCCCAGCUGGGUGGCCCUGCGGUGUGGGUACUUCCCCAAGUCUUUCAUCGUUGUCUGCCUACGAAAGUGUCAUCGCUGCAGACACAGUGACAGCGCUUGUGAAGACGAGAUGGCGGUUGGUGCACGAGGAUCCUCUGGAAAUGGAAAAGUUGGAAACUUGCGUGUCUCCAAGAUGGGACAUCUUCUCUGCUUGGAUGAUAGUCUUCAGAAGGUGUUCUUUCUCAGCUCGUCCAGUCUAGCCUCUGAGGGCUUGUCUCCACUUUCUGCCGAUGAUGACGGAGGAGAACGGACACCCCCACUAGUCAGAGGGUAUUAUCCCAUAAAGGUGCCCCUGCUUCUCCUGGACAUGUCUUUUCACUUCAACAUGUCUCCCUUUUCUUUCUUCCUGUCUCAGUGUCUAGAACCUUCCGUUGCUGUACCUUCCUCCCCAAGACUCGUAAUUCCUCUCUCCAGAAAUAGGGAUGACUCGGUCUCUUAA
Molecule: long non-coding RNA, 726 nt
Filed under: Felis catus (domestic cat)
Lineage: Eukaryota; Metazoa; Chordata; Mammalia; Carnivora; Felidae
Description: lncRNA (ENSFCAG00000048067.1)
Source: RNAcentral